CCGUAUGAUUCUGGGUGGCUGAUGAUCACAGGGGACCCACCUUCUCUGUGAUGAGGCCAGGCAUGUGCCCUUGGAGUCAUGAACUGCUGCGAAAGAACUCUGGUGACCUUGAAUCUACCAAGUGGAGAGACUUCAUGGAGAGGCCCAUUUAGAGAGGAGAGGCUGAGCGCCAACAGCAGACAUCAAAUGCCUGACUAGCCAUUAGAUUUCAGUUCCCUGUCUUUGAGUCUUCCACCUGAUACCCAAGACAUCAGCAUAGAUAAGUCGUCUCUGUUGUGCUCUGUUUGAAUUCCUGUCCUGUAAAACCAUGAACAAAAUAAGUGAUUGUUUCUUGCCACUAAGCUUUGGGGGUAAUUUGUUAUGUGGUCAUAGUAACUGGAGCAACAAUGAAGAAAAAUAAAUUAAAACUAGCUACUCUACUAUAUGAUAGUUCCCAGACUCAUACACCAAGACUUUCCACAGGAAGACUCGUACUGGUCAUUUGUUGUCUUCGUUUCUGACUUUCUACCGUGCUGUAGCAAUAGUCUACCUCCCUCAAUUAGAAUGCCUUGAAGAGGUCCUGCCAGUUCUUCUUGAAGUUCAGGCCCAACUUCUCAGGGUCUCAGAAAGGAAAAACAACAUCCUAAAGAAUAUACACAUUCUGGAUAUUUGUCAUAUCACCAAUGAGUGCAUAGCCAUUGGCAUUUCAUGAGGAGCACGUAAGCACCUCAAUAUCUCACACCUUUCCAUGCCGUUAUGGGUUCUUUGCUUAUUUUUCUUUGCCAAAUUAUGUGUUGAAUUGUCUUGCCCUAAAACAAAGAUCCAAUCUUCUCUUAGAGGUGAAUCAAAUCCCGAAUAUCUAGGGAAUGAGAAAAGCUAUUUACUUCUUUAAAAAUGGCAUUUUUUUCUCAUGUCUCAAAAAUAUGAAGAUCAAAGUGCAAACAAAAGACCUGAUCAUUUCUAUUAUAUUCAAGAGGAUCAAUUCAGAAGAGGUCAAAGCAUCACCUUACUUUAAGACAGGUAGACUUUCUUUCAUGCUGUCAUUCUGAGGGUCCGUGACAGAGAGAGGUGGGAUGUGUUCAGACGAGACCCACCUCAUUCUAUAUUAAGAAAAAUCCCUCAAAGCUCUGAGUGCAACACUGUCCCAAAUUAAGAGGAAGUUGUGGUUUGCCUAGUAAUAAAUAAGAAGGAUGAAAUUCAGCAAGCGAUCCAUAUUCUUCAACUAAAUUACUCCUGAAGGGCAUUUGCCAUUGGCAAAGCUUUAAACUUAAAAUGUUUUCUGGCAAUUUUUCUUCAUUUUUUUAAGUAGUGGAUUGCCACCUUGUCAUUUGUUUCUUAGACCACUUUUCUUAAGUAGUUUCUAAUGCCACAGAAAAUAUUGUUUAAAUUGUUUGUCUUUGUUUAUAUUACUCUCAAAAACAGAAACCCAGGAGCAGUUAGAAGGAAAGAGAAAAACCUAUUUAUCUUAUCUGCUAUUGAAUCACUGGGUCAUCUGCUUUUGGCAAUAGUAAUACCAUCUGGUCAAUUAGAAAUGGGUUUAAUAAAUACCCUAUGUGACACCAGCUGCCUAUCCAUAUUUUCUCAAGGGACGAAUGCUAAGUGUUUCAGAACCUUCACAGGACUCAUUCAUGUACAUUCGCUGGAGUGAUGCCCAGUGACUUCCUGAUGCCUGUAGGGAAUCUGCGUGUUAGGGAGUUGAGGUACUGUCCUGAGGGGUUGACGGUGUUGCCCUGUUCUUCAGUAUUGGCUUCUCUCUCGGGCCCCUGCCAAAGAGGACCUUUUUGUAUGCCUUUUUUCCUUUUGCAGAGUGUGAGCCAUUUUGAUUAGGUAUGCAGCUCUGUUUCAGAGAGACCACUGCAACCCCUUGUUAAGAAAACUACUAUCAUUAAUAAAAAAAUAAUGAGAUUCUGACCAGUUCAAACACAGUAGUCCUUGCAAUAAGGGUGAGUUGUGACUUGCAUCACAAUAAAGACCAGCAUUGAAUGUACGUGCUGCAGAUAAGUUCUCACAAAAAUUCAGUACUUUUAAAUCUUAAAUUUCCGUUGUAUCAAUCUGCCUGUGCAUUUUAUUUAAUACCCCCAGAGCAUUUUGACAAGUGGAGGGUGCUGAUGGCAGUGGUGGUAAGGAGGAUAGUAGCAUCCUUUCUGUUCCCCGUCACGCUAGAUGUUUUUGACUAACCUGAAGAUCCUUGACAGACAAGUUUCAGAUUUUUGCAAAUGCAGAAGCUGUUUUAGCAGAUUAGCCAGAAUUAAUCAGCCCUGCAUGGGAAAUUUUUCUUAUUAAGAGGAAAAUCUCACCCAUUUUGGUCACUUGGAAAUAAACUUUUUCCCUUGUAGAAAAGUCUGUUGUAAUUCCUGGUCUUUACUUUUCUUGCUUUCCUCCCUCCCAUGUGGUCAUUUCUUACUCAGACUUCAAUAUGCCAUGUAUAGUCCUCGCUUCAUUUAUACCUUUCCUAAUUUCUCCAGAGGGUUGGUUGCUUCUUAGUAACUAACAGGUUCCCGUAGGAGGGACCGAUCUCCACUCUUAUGCUUAACACAGUGUAUUGUAAUUAUCUCUUUAUGUGUUUGUUUUUCUCAAUAAGUUUGGAUCUAAAUGUCAAGGACUAAUUUCUCAAUAAGUUUGAAUUCUAAAUGUCAAGACUUUUCCCCCUAAGUUUCUAUAGCUAGCGCCUAGCAUAGUGGUAAGUGCUUAUUACAUGUUUUUUUAUAUGAAAAAAGCCCUGCGGUGUAAAAGACUGUGCGAUUAUUUGCCUCCUGACACAGAAGUUUCUCCUAUGAGCAUAUAUCUUUUACAGUAAAUUUACAUGACCAACUGUGACUCAUUUCAGUUUUUUUCUCAGUAUGAUUAGAAUUUUUUUUCCUAUGUGCAUUGUUGUAUCUUAUCCAAAUCUAAUUAACCCUCUGCACAGUUAACAUUAAUAUCAAAAUGAGUAAUUAGGACGUUUACUAAUGAUGUUGAAUGAUCCAACAGUCACCCCUCCUUUACUUUUGUUUCUAAUGGACCUACCUGUAUUUAUCAUAUAAAUACUGUAAAUACUGUAAACCCCAUCAAGAGGAGGAUACUGUAAGAGGAGUAUCCUCAAGAAUAUUCUAUAUUCUUGACCCGGAAGGCUAGGCUGCAUGUUUUUUUGGACAUUGCAUAGUACAUUAUGCUAUCCUCAGUACUGCAGACACAAAGUGCUGAUCUUUUCAAGAAAUAAUGCAGCAUAUUUUGUCAUCUGGCAACUAGGCAUUUCGUUAAAUUCUGUAGAAAACCCUUCAGUAAUCAGAUGUUUAAAAGAAUUCAGGUUUAUGUAAAAGAUUGUCAUUUUUCACCUCGUAUUCUUUCUCUGUUGCUCCAAAUAUUGAGCUAAAAUGCAGAAUAAUGUAAUUGAAAAAAA
Hipposideros armiger (great roundleaf bat) is the source of this 3358-nucleotide long non-coding RNA. RefSeq lists it as uncharacterized. The record is from RefSeq and is a predicted model, not a curated record. NCBI's taxonomy places the organism in Eukaryota, Metazoa, Chordata, Mammalia, Chiroptera, Hipposideridae. The transcript has 2 exons.